UACGAAGGGGGCUAGCGUUGCUCGGAAUCACUGGGCGUAAAGCGCACGUAGGCGGAUUGUUAAGUCAGGGGUGAAAUCCUGGAGCUCAACUCCAGAACUGCCUUUGAUACUGGCGAUCUUGAGUCCGGGAGAGGUGAGUGGAACUCCGAGUGUAGAGGUGAAAUUCGUAGAUAUUCGGAAGAACACCAGUGGCGAAGGCGGCUCACUGGCCCGGUACUGACGCUGAGGUGCGAAAGCG
This 238-nucleotide ribosomal RNA is filed under the name uncultured bacterium. RNAcentral describes it as "partial 16S ribosomal RNA". It matches the Rfam family "Bacterial small subunit ribosomal RNA", at positions 524 to 761 of the family's 1533-position model. The record is from RNAcentral.